Molecule: non-coding RNA, 26 nt
Filed under: Rattus norvegicus (Norway rat)
Lineage: Eukaryota; Metazoa; Chordata; Mammalia; Rodentia; Muridae
Source: RNAcentral
GUGCUGUCUGUUUGUGAACACUUCCU